RNAcentral lists this ribosomal RNA (482 nucleotides) under uncultured bacterium. RNAcentral describes it as "partial 16S ribosomal RNA". It matches the Rfam family "Bacterial small subunit ribosomal RNA", at positions 30 to 507 of the family's 1533-position model. The record is from RNAcentral.
AUUGAACGCCGGCGGCAUGCUUUACACAUGCAAGUCGAACGGUAACAGGCCGCAAGGUGCUGACGAGUGGCGAACGGGUGAGUAAUGCAUCGGAACGUGCCCAGUCGUGGGGGAUAACUACUCGAAAGAGUAGCUAAUACCGCAUACGAUCUAUGGAUGAAAGCGGGGGACCGUAAGGCCUCGCGCGAUUGGAGCGGCCGAUGUCAGAUUAGGUAGUUGGUGGGGUAAAGGCUCACCAAGCCAACGAUCUGUAGCUGGUCUGAGAGGACGACCAGCCACACUGGGACUGAGACACGGCCCAGACUCCUACGGGAGGCAGCAGUGGGGAAUUUUGGGCAAUGGGCGCAAGCCUGAUCCAGCAAUGCCGCGUGCAGGAAGAAGGCCUUCGGGUUGUAAACUGCUUUUGUACGGAACGAAACGGCUCUGGUUAAUACCCGGGGCUAAUGACGGUACCGUAAGAAUAAGCACCGGCUAACUACGUG